UACGUAGGGGGCAAGCGUUGUCCGGAUUUAUUGGGCGUAAAGAGCGUGUAGGCGGCUUUACAGGUCCGUUGUGAAAACUCGAGGCUCAACCUCGAGACGCCGGUGGAAACCGUAAGGCUAGAGUCCGGAAGAGGAGAGUGGAAUUCCUGGUGUAGCGGUGAAAUGCGCAGAUAUCAGGAAGAACACCCGUGGCGAAGGCGGCUCUCUGGGACGGUACUGACGCUGAGGCACGAAAGCUAGGGGAGCAAACAGG
RNAcentral lists this ribosomal RNA (253 nucleotides) under uncultured bacterium. Its description in RNAcentral is "partial 16S ribosomal RNA". It matches the Rfam family "Bacterial small subunit ribosomal RNA", at positions 524 to 776 of the family's 1533-position model. The record is from RNAcentral.